GAUGAAGAACGUAGUGAAAUGCGAUAAGUAAUGUGAAUUGCAGAAUUCAGUGAAUCAUCGAAUCUUUGAACGCACCUUGCGCCCUUUGGCCAUUCCGAAGGGCAUGCCUGUUUGAGUAUCAUGAACACCUCAACUCUUCAUGGUUUUCCAUGAUGAGCUUGGACUUUGGGGGUCUUGCUGGCCUGUGGGUCGGCUCCUCUCAAAUGAAUCAGCUUGCCGGUUUUUGGUGGGCAUCACAGGUGUGAUAACUAUCUACGCUUGUGGUUUUCCACCAGGGUAACCUUCAGCAGUGGAGGUUCACUGGAGCUUACACAUGUCUCUCCUCUGUGAGGACAGCCCUUUGAAUGUUUGAUCUCAAAUCAGGUAGGACUACCCGCUGAACUUAAGCAUAUCAAUAAGCGGAGGA
Molecule: unclassified non-coding RNA, 406 nt
Filed under: soil metagenome
Description: partial contains 5.8S ribosomal RNA, internal transcribed spacer 2, and large subunit ribosomal RNA
Rfam family: 5.8S ribosomal RNA (bases 1-121)
Source: RNAcentral